AAUAAGUGACAGCUAACUAUGUGCCAGCAGCUGCGGUAAAACAUAGGUCACGAGCAUUAUCCGGAUUUAUUGGGCGUAAAGGAAGCGUAGGCGGACAAAUUGAUCUAUUGUUAAAGGCACUUGCUCAACGAGUUGUUUGUGAUAGAUAUCGUUUGUCUAGAAUUAGUUAGGAGAUACUGGAAUUCAAUGUGUAGCGGUGGAAUGCGUAGAUAUAUUGAGGAACACCAGAGGCUAAGGCGAGUAUCUAGGACAUAAUUGACGCUGAGGCUUGAAAGCGUGGGGAGCAAAUGGGAUUAGAUACCCCAGUAGUCCACGCCGUAAACGAUGGGUAUUAGGUAUUUGGUCUAGGACUGAGUGCUGUAGCUAACGCGUUAAAUACCCCGCCUGGGUAGUAUAUAUGCAAAUAUGAAACUCAAAGAAAUUGACGGGGACCUG
Molecule: ribosomal RNA, 435 nt
Filed under: Candidatus Mycoplasma haematominutum
Lineage: Bacteria; Bacillati; Mycoplasmatota; Mollicutes; Mycoplasmatales; Mycoplasmataceae
Description: bacterial SSU rRNA
Rfam family: Bacterial small subunit ribosomal RNA
Source: RNAcentral